UAAGACACUAUGAUGCCAUGGGUUCUCAUUUUUUUAGGUUCUGAUUUCCGAACAAGAUCAUUGCCUAAAUGGUUUGCAUAUAUAUGGAUGUUUUUCCAUGUUGUAGAGGCUAUCAAAAUGGUUAGUGAGCAAGGCCAGUUUAUGUUAAAGUUCAUAGAAUCCUUGCGGCCAUACAUUGAACCAUGCUUAAUUUUACUGUCCUGUUGUAC
Molecule: long non-coding RNA, 209 nt
Filed under: Setaria italica (foxtail millet)
Lineage: Eukaryota; Viridiplantae; Streptophyta; Magnoliopsida; Poales; Poaceae
Description: long non-coding RNA (SITA_LNC006199)
Source: RNAcentral